This is a non-coding RNA of Paramormyrops kingsleyae, 2790 nucleotides long. Lineage: Eukaryota; Metazoa; Chordata; Actinopteri; Osteoglossiformes; Mormyridae. The record is from RefSeq and is a predicted model, not a curated record.
CAAAAGUUUGGCCACCGGACAUGGCCAACUCUUAGUAACACACUCUCUGGCAAAUAUCACAGCUUGUAAAUGAUUUUUGUAGUCAGCUAUGGCUCUUGGGGGAUUUUUCUGCCCAUUCAGCCUUGCCUUCUGUAAUAUUCCUGGGCCGUCUUGCAUACAUUGCUCUUUUGAGUUCUAUCCACAGACCUUCAAUGAUCUUUAGGUCAGGGGACUGUGAGGUCCAUAGCAAACCUACAGCUUGUGCCUGUUAAGGGAUUAUAUUGUAGAUUUUCAGGUGUGUUUCAAAUCAUUAUCUUAUUGUAGGACCGAUCCUCUUUUCAACUUUUUACAGAUGGUGUGAUGUUUGCUUCCAGAAUUUGCUGGUAUUUAUUUGAAUCCAUUCUUCCCUCUACAAAUGACAUGUCCCCUGUGCCACUGGCUGCAAUACAAGCCCAAAGCAUGAUCGAUCCACCCCCAUGCUUAAUAGCUGGAGAGGUGUUCUUUUCCUGGAAUUUGGCACCCUUUUUUCUCUAAACACAUUGUGGCUAAAAAGGUCAAUUUUGACAUCAUCAGUCCACAGGAGUUGUUUCCGAAAUGCAUCAGGCUUGUUCAGAUGUCCAUUUGUAAGCUUCAGUUGCUAAAUUUUGUGGCUACGACACAGGAAAGAUUUUCUUCUGCUGACUCUGCCAUAAAGGUCAUAUUUGUUCAGGUGUCGCUGCACAGUAGAACGGUGAACCACCACUCCAGAGUCUGCUAAAUCUUCCUGAGGGUCUUUUGCAGUCAAACAGGGUUUUUUAUUUGCCUUUCUGGCAAUCUGAUGAGCAGUUCUUUCAGAAAGCUUUCUUGGUCUUCCAGACCUCAGCUUGACUUCCACCAUUCUUGUUAACUGCCGUUUAUUAAUAACAUUAUGAAAUGAGAAAACAGCUACCUGGAAAUGCUUUGCUCUCUUCUUGUAGCCUGCUUCUACUUUGACCUGGUGUCCAUCUUGUCUCUAUCCUCAGUAUAUACCUUGUGAUGAAAUGGCUGUCUUCUGUUUUCAUUCCUCAUGAAAUUCAACUCUACUCCGGAGCCUAAAUAUAAUCCCCAUUCCAUCCUCCCAUCCCGCGGUCACAUGGUUCUGUUCACCAUCCUGACUGGACUCUUAUGAAGAGCUACAAGAAUCUGAUUAGUAAUCUUGCUGUUUGAUCUGUUCUCUCCUACAGUUUGACAAGCAAAAGACAUUCAAACAAAUGCACAGGCAUGCAAGGAUAACAGCAUGUGUCACUUAGCCCUGAACUCUGGGGUCAGAAUGUAACUGAUUUUAUAAUGUUUACAUUCUGUGUACUCCGCUAACUACUGAGAAUAUGUCCGUAGUAAAAAACAAAAAUAGUAUCAUGCUUGCUAGAAUUGGCCCCUAUUGAAAAAUAAAAUGCUAUAUCCUGUUUUGAACCAAUAUGAGACACAAUUUGUCUCGUAUUUUCCAGAUCGCAUAACCUAUUCCCCCCAUCAACAAAUGACCAGGUCAUGCAUUGCUCAGCUCUACAACAUUUAUGUUAGGCCAACAUAAAUUAAUAAGAGGCAAUAAGAAAUGUAGUUUACUGCAGUGGCAUUGCAGUGGUAAAUUGUAUCUUUUGCCAACAUACAUAUACUUAAAUGACAGUAAUUACAACCUUUUGCUUUUUUUUAGCUGUCAUCCCCUGUGCUGGGGCGAAGUCAUAUAAUAAAUCUGUGCAGGACUGAACAAAUUAGCCACUUAUGUUUCAUGUAGAAAUGGAUCAUAUCAACUUGAAGAUAUGAAAUCAUAUUUUGACAAUGUGAAAGCUGUAUGCAAAGUAAUCCUCAUGAUGAAUUAGCAUGCAUUGCACAACAUGCACAGAAAAAAAAUAUCUCUGAAGCAGAGUUUCUGUCACUGUUUCAUAUUCUCAGGACAUAUAAUAUUGCAGAAAUUGAAAACCAAGGCAUUUGGGAAAGGCAUGUAUUUUUGUAGCCUGACCACACCAAUCAGCUGACCCAAUAUGUACAGUACACAGGGACUUGGGAGCUUACACUUAAACGAACAUAAGUUGGGCAAGUCACUGCACAGAGCUGAAAACAUCUUUUUAGAGAGGCAGGGACUAAUCUGUCUCACCAGGACUAUCUCUUUGCUACUAGUUAUGCAAGAGUGCUCCCAGAGGUAGCAAUGUUAAACUCUCCGGAGCAGGAAACUAAAGUCAAUAUGACCACCAUCAGUAAAAACAAGCCUGAAAACACACUUACAAACAGCAUACAGACCUUGCCUUCUUAAUGAUUAGAGAGUAAUUCAAAUUAAUAUAUUAUUCCAUGCAAUAAUUAUUUUCAUCCAUUGCAAUAGCAACAUUGGCAAAGCAAACAACAUCAUAUCAAGAUAUCACACACAUUUGGCCUAUAUAGGAGGGUGGCAAGAAGAGAGUCAUUUCUCACAAAGGUCUACCUGGAGUCCUGACUGAAGAAACACCUGACAGAUUCUGGAACAAACUUUCAGUGGGCUUCAUGGUCAAGAGUUAACAGAAAGGGACCUUUUUAGCCCAAAUACCAAGCAUUAUGUCUAGAGAAAAUCUAACACCAAAACAACAAGUACAGACACAUUUUUUGAUGCUUUCACAGCACUCAUAUGCUUUGUUGUGUGAUGUGGAUCAGGGCAAAAUGAGGCCAUUUCAAUCAAUGAAAUUUAUAGACUACAACACAAGAAAAUGGAAAAUCUUUAGAGCGUGAUGUAUUUUUUUUCCAUUCACUGCCUAUAAGUUGUUAUCAUGUUUUCCUUCUGAUGCUUUUGUCACAUCUGUUCUUAAAAAUAAAAUAAUUUCUCUAAGUUAA